Molecule: transfer RNA, 74 nt
Filed under: Homolaphlyctis polyrhiza JEL 142
Lineage: Eukaryota; Fungi; Chytridiomycota; Chytridiomycetes; Rhizophydiales
Description: tRNA-Arg (CCG) (tRNA-Arg-CCG-1-1)
Rfam family: tRNA
About the family: Transfer RNA (tRNA) molecules are approximately 80 nucleotides in length.
Source: RNAcentral
GGGCUCGUGGCGCAGUGGUUCAGCGCGCCCGUCUCCGGAACGGGAGGACGUCGGUUCGAACCCGACCUGGCUCG